This 885-nucleotide long non-coding RNA is filed under the name Lonchura striata (white-rumped munia). RNAcentral describes it as "domestica (Bengalese finch) lncRNA (ENSLSDG00000008525.1)". The record is from RNAcentral. Lineage: Eukaryota; Metazoa; Chordata; Aves; Passeriformes; Estrildidae.
CUUUUCCUGUCGUGUCCCCUUCUUUGUCCUGUCCUGUGUCACGGGUGUCUGCACACAUUUGUCCCACAGCUGCUCUGCCCUGCUGCAUAGCCUGUAAUAGCACAAGUCCUGGGGACUUGAAAUUUGUAAUGCAGGGUGUAGUUGGGCUCUAGAUUGGAUUAGGAGAUUGACAUAACAUGUUUGGUGCUGUUAAGUUGUCCUGCAGCCAUUUGACACUAGUCCUAACUUCCUUUCAGAUGCAGACAGUUCAGAUCCGUGGCAGAGAGCCCCAGUCCUGGGUGAGGGUUUUCCCAUGAGCAGGUCAGUCAUUGUUUGCAUUUGCAGGGGCAGCCUAAAUGGUGACUGUGUUACAGCAGUGUUCUUUGCCUUUAUUUUUGGGAGGUCCAGGCAGAUAGCAGCAGUCAAGGCCCUGUGUGCCAGGCAGUCUUCUUGCAAGAUGUCUCUGGUCCGGAUGUCCAAGGCCAGGUGCUGUCUCUGCCCUAGCUGUGUGAAGGAACAGAGGCGAGCGGGUAUCCUCCAGGCAGCCUGUGGAGUCAAAUUGAGACUUCAGGUGAGCUGGGGCAGCGGUGUGUCGGAGUUUUGGGGAUUCCUCUUUUCGUGGGCACUGGUUGCAUUUUCUGUUUUGUCUUAGGUACCCUGAGGAGGAGCGUAGCUGAAGUUUGUUAACGGCAGCACCGAAGCGGAUGUACAGAACGUCUUGUCGUCCACAUCGAACUGACAUUGGAUUCCAUCCGGUUGUCUUGCAAAAGCUAAGUGCUGGGGCCAGUAGGUGGGAGAUGGGGGGAAAACCUUUACUAUCACAGGAGGCUAUUUGAUGUUAGCUUGGAGAAUAGGCCCAUAGUGGGACGGGCCCCUCGGGAGCAAAGGGAGAGGGUUUCUCCUCAG